Long non-coding RNA from Dreissena polymorpha, 281 nucleotides. RefSeq lists it as uncharacterized. The record is from RefSeq and is a predicted model, not a curated record. The transcript has 3 exons. NCBI's taxonomy places the organism in Eukaryota, Metazoa, Mollusca, Bivalvia, Myida, Dreissenidae.
AGCCGGUAAAAAGAUGGCCAUAAAACAGUGACCGCUGAUUCGCGUCGAGUUCUUUCUUGCAUAACGUAGAGAAAUGUCUGGGACUUAGCCGAGGGCAACUGGAGAAGGGUUGUUGAUGGCAAAACAGGUUGGAGACUACAUGAGACUUUGACAGAUGGCGGGAAACCCUUCUCAACUGGUACGAAGCCGGUAAAUAGAUGGCCAUAAAACAGUGACCGCUGAUUCGCGUCGAGUUCUUUCUUGCAUAACGUAUGACCCCCCUUUUUUAUUGUUUAAAUCAU